CUAGCGACCUCCACCUCAGAGUGAACGCUGGCGGCAGGCCUAACACAUGCAAGUCGAACGGCAGCACAGGGGAGCUUGCUCCCUGGGUGGCGAGUGGCGGACGGGUGAGGAAUACAUCGGAAUCUGCCUAUACGUGGGGGAUAACCUCGGGAAACCGGGACUAAUACCGCAUACGACCUACGGGUGAAAGCAGGGGANCUUCGGNCCUUGCGCGGAUAGAUGAGCCGAUGUCGGAUUAGCUAGUUGGCGGGGUAAAGGCCCACCAAGGCCAAGGCGACGAUCCNUAGCUGGUCUGAGAGGAUGAUCNGCCACACUGGNACUGAGACACGGUCCAGACUCCUACGGGAGGCAGCAGUGGGGAAUAUUGGACAAUGGGCGCAAGCCUGAUCCAGCCAUGCCGCGUGGGUGAAGAAGGCCUUCGGGUUGUAAAGCCCUUUUGUUGGGAAAGAAAAGCAGUCGAUUAAUACCCGAUUGUUCUGACGGUACCCAAAGAAUAAGCACCGGCUAACUUCGUGCCAGCAGCCGCGGUAAUACGAAGGGUGCAAGCGUUACUCGGAAUUACUGGGCGUAAAGCGUGCGUAGGUGGUUUGUUAAGUCUGAUGUGAAAGCCCUGGGCUCAACCUGGGAAUUGCAUUGGAUACUGGCAGGCUAGAGUGCGGUAGAGGAUGGCGGAAUUCCUGGUGUAGCAGUGAAAUGCGUAGAGAUCAGGAGGAACAUCCGUGGCGAAGGCGGCCAUCUGGACCAGCACUGACACUGAGGCACGAAAGCGUGGGGAGCAAACAGGAUUAGAUACCCUGGUAGUCCACGCCCUAAACGAUGCGAACUGGAUGUUGGGUGCAAUUUGGCACGCAGUAUCGAAGCUAACGCGUUAAGUUCGCCGCCUGGGGAGUACGGUCGCAAGACUGAAACUCAAAGGAAUUGACGGGGGCUGUGGAGGUCGCUAGAUGGUCAUGGGAGUGUGGAGGUCGCUAGAUGGUC
This 978-nucleotide ribosomal RNA is filed under the name insect metagenome. RNAcentral's name for it is "bacterial SSU rRNA". It matches the Rfam family "Bacterial small subunit ribosomal RNA", at positions 1 to 1287 of the family's 1533-position model. The record is from RNAcentral.